UACGAAGGUCCCAAGCGUUAUCCGGAUUUAUUGGGUUUAAAGGGUGCGCAGGCGGCCAAGUGUGUGAGGCGUGAAAGCCCGGGGCUUAACCCCGGAAUUGCACCUCAAACUACAUGGCUAGAGCAUUGGAGAGGGUAGCGGAAUUCACGGUGUAGCAGUGAAAUGCGUAGAUAUCGUGAGGAACACCAGAGGCGAAGGCGGCUACCUGGACAAUUGCUGACGCUCAGGCACGAAAGCGUGGGGAGCAAAAGGG
RNAcentral lists this ribosomal RNA (253 nucleotides) under uncultured bacterium. RNAcentral describes it as "partial 16S ribosomal RNA". It matches the Rfam family "Bacterial small subunit ribosomal RNA", at positions 524 to 776 of the family's 1533-position model. The record is from RNAcentral.